This 612-nucleotide ribosomal RNA is filed under the name fungal endophyte. Its description in RNAcentral is "eukaryotic LSU rRNA". The stretch from base 180 to 333 matches the Rfam family "5.8S ribosomal RNA". Lineage: Eukaryota; Fungi. The record is from RNAcentral.
UUAAAGAGUUCUAUAACUCCCAAACCCAUGUGAACAUACCUAACGUUGCCUCGGCAGGUCGCACCUACCUUGUAGCACCCUACCCUGUAGGGCCUACCCGGGAGGUGCGGGUAAGCCUGCCGGCGGCCCACCAAACUCUGUUUGAUAUUGAAUUCUGAACCUAUAACUAAAUAAGUUAAAACUUUCAACAACGGAUCUCUUGGUUCUGGCAUCGAUGAAGAACGCAGCGAAAUGCGAUAAGUAAUGUGAAUUGCAGAAUUCAGUGAAUCAUCGAAUCUUUGAACGCAUAUUGCGCCCAUUAGUAUUCUAGUGGGCAGGACCGUUCGAGCGUCAUUUCAACCCUUAAGCCUUCGUUGCUUAGUGUUGGGAGCCUACGGCAACGUAGCUCCUCAAAGUUAGUGGCGGAGUUGGUUCACACUCUAGACGUAGUAAUUUUUUAUCUCGCCUAUUAGUUGGACUAAUCCCCUGCCGUAAAACCCCCAAUUUAUCAAGGUUGACCUCGAAUCGGUUCAGACAAACUCGCUAAAUUGAAGCAUCUUAGUCAGCGAAGGAAAAGAAACCAACAGGGAUUGCCCUAGUAACGGCGAGUGAAGCGGCAACAGCUCAAAUUUG